AUUUUUUUUUCGAAAGGCGGCAAAAAGCUUUUGCCGGAUUUUUAUUAGACGAGUAAGGAAAACAAAAACAAAAGAGUAUACAAGUUACAUACAAACAGCCCGUAGGAUAAAUCAGGUUAUUAUAGGUCGGUAAAAUGAGGUAAUAAAUUGAUUGCGUGCAAACAGAAGAAAACACAUUGGAUUUUCGUCGCUCAAGAAGAGAGAGAGAGAGAGGAAACAAGGAACAAUUGCAAGAAGAAUGAAGCUAGUUUCUAGCUAGUCGCCUAGUCCACUGCACACCAAGCAGCUUCCUCCCAACCCCAUUGUUGGUGGCGGCAUGGCCGGCACCAGGGCUGUGUCCAGGAUCCGUCGCUCGGGUGUCCUCUCCGAGGACGCCACCACCGGCUGCGCCGCCGCUCCCGGUGCCGUCCGGCGAGAUUGUGCCUGGGGUCAUCGUCCGCUUGGUGUCCCCAUCGUCGGAAUGCGACAACAAGUUAAACCUCCUAUGCAUCAUCGUGAGGGGUUCGCCUUGAGAGUGCAUGAUAUGGUUAGAGGAGACGAGGAUUAUGAGCACCAGGAUGAGGGCUACUUUGCUAACCUUACAGAAGACCAUGGUAUAUAAAGCUUAGCUACCUAGAGAAAGAAGGGCCAACAAUGGCCGGUGAUGAGCUCCUAGAAUGAGCUAAUGGUGAAGUGGUGAACUCUGGUGUGGCUGAUCUGAUGUGUGUGAGCUCAUGUUUUUGCUAUUUAUAGCAUCGUACUAGAUACACUGAAAGGUGUGCCGACUAGAGCUGCAAUGUAUAUAUAUUAUAUAAAACAUAACUACGGGCACCUUUAUUAGCUUGGCACAUGUGCAUGGUGGGCACAAAGUAUAUUAGUAUUUGAUUAAAUGGAUUAAUCAGACAACAACACUAAACUCCACUCUUUUGCAAGUUUAUAUAUAGUAUAUGGACAUGGAG
RNAcentral lists this long non-coding RNA (938 nucleotides) under Sorghum bicolor (sorghum). RNAcentral's name for it is "long non-coding RNA (SBIC_LNC001540)". Lineage: Eukaryota; Viridiplantae; Streptophyta; Magnoliopsida; Poales; Poaceae. The record is from RNAcentral.